GCAGUGAUGUGAAGCAAAUCGCACCAAAGCCAGUCCCAGUUCGGAUAAGAGGCUGAAACUCGCCNCUUUGAAGUCGGAAUCGCUAGUAAUCGCAGAUCAGCAUGUUGCGGUGAAUACGUUCCCGGGUCUUGUACACACCGCCCGUCACACCAUGGGAGUCGGAAAUGCCCGAAGCCAGUGACCCAAGCGGAAGCAGGGAGCUGUCGAAGGCAGGUCGGGUAACUGGGGUGAAGUCGUAACAAGGUAAC
This 248-nucleotide ribosomal RNA is filed under the name uncultured bacterium. Its description in RNAcentral is "partial 16S ribosomal RNA". It matches the Rfam family "Bacterial small subunit ribosomal RNA", at positions 1254 to 1500 of the family's 1533-position model. The record is from RNAcentral.